CAGACAGCCGAACUCACCCCCAAUAAAGGAAUGAGGAGGGUCUUUAUUUUUUUAAGGUCUCAUACAGUCCAGUGUUUACAAGACGAGAAAUACCAUUGCCCUGUCCUUCUGGAAAGAAAGGCUGAAAUAGAAGACUGCCGCCUUCCUUAUAAGAUUGAAACUGACCUGUGCAGUGCCAGUUGGGUUUUUGCCCCUUUGUAUCUGUCCUUGGCAUGGAGGCUCUAGGAAAGAAGGCCAACUUGUGAUCAAGAAAGGUUUCACUCUGGGCUCAUUGGAGUCUGAGCCAGCCCUGGUAGAAAAAGCAACCGCGAAGCGGGAGAGAGAGAGCUGGAGGAAGGAAGAGCAUCAGCCUGAGAAAUGCAGAGAAAUGAGCGAUGCGGCAGGUCCGGAACAAACGUUGCAGAGGGCAAGACAGGCACUCACGGACAGAGGUUUAUAUAUUUUUAAUUUUUAAAUCCGAUUUUGGGCUAGACAAAGAAAAGGGAAAAUUAAGGGAAAGCGGGCGGGUCGGGGGCAGUUCCUGCUGGAUGCAUUAACACCUCAGGAGGAAAGAACUGGCUAAACCCGGGUGGGCACAGGACAGCACCAGGGAAACAGCAUUACGCUGCUCGCACACUGCAGAGCUGAGCCCUGGAAGCCCCCCCUCGUGGCCGCCGGAGUUUUCUGGCUCUCCUUAUCAUCUCCAUCUUUAUGACGAGGCUUGUUAACAAGACCAGCGAGCUGGCCACGCACAUCUAUCUCAGCCGCGUGCGCUCAGCCGAGCAGUGGCCGGCGGGGGGACUGGGAGGCGCUAAUUAAUUGAUUCCUUUGGACUGUAAAAUAUGGCCGCGUCUACACGGAACCGUGGACUCAUAAACAAUAUCUCUGCUGGAUGUGAGCACACUGUCUUUCAAAGAAUUUUUCCAUAGGUAUGUGUCAGAGAGUUCUGGAGUUUUAGUUGCUAAGACCCAAGUGGGACUAAUUUUUAGGGGGCCAGAACAGCUCAGUGCCAGAAAAUGGCUCUCCAAAAGCACUGGGAGUGGAUCUUGUUGAGAAAAGAGGGGGGGGUGCUCUUGGGCUGUCGGAUAGUCUUUCUUUGUUGCUUGUGUAGACCCAGUUUGGUUUAAGGGUAGGAAUCUGAGCAGUGGGCUGCGACUAGCCAGUCUUUCAGCCCUGGCUGGGUGCAGGGGAGUGGGGCUUCUCCAAGAUUUGUGAAUAACAUUAGAAGCCCACCCUUUGUUUCCUGUUGCUCCCUAGACUGAAGAAUUUAAAAUAAAAAAAUGUAAAACUUAACCAAAUCUUAGACUUCAGGAACCCUUGAGUGCCCAGCACACAGCCCAGAAUCAAAGAGCCUGCUGUAUACUUCACCAGAGCCUUGUGGCUUCCCUUUUUCUGCCUGGGAGUAGAGUAUUUCUAUAAUAGGUUUACCUUAGGCCUAGAAGAAUGGAUCUUGAGACACGUGGGGGUGACAUAAUUAUAUAAUGCUCAUCCUAUACAGUAUGACUGUGCACUGGACCCUGCUACAGACAAGACUUAGUAUGUUCUAAAUGUGUUCUCCAGCUUCAGGUCAGAGCUACAACAGGGAAAUAAGAUAGGAGAUCAGUUGUGAUAAUGCUUAAAGAAAUAGAAGGGCACUUUUAAAAGACAGAAAAUAAUAAAAAUAUAAAACAGAGGGAAAAAAGAUUCAGCAGGUGGAGAUUGCAAUUACUGAUGCCCAGACUUCUUUCCUGCUCUUAUUUUUAAAACCUUCAGAGAAAUAUAUAUUAUAAAUACAAUAUG
Long non-coding RNA from Fukomys damarensis (Damara mole-rat), 1758 nucleotides. RefSeq lists it as uncharacterized. The transcript is spliced from 3 exons. The record is from RefSeq and is a predicted model, not a curated record. NCBI's taxonomy places the organism in Eukaryota, Metazoa, Chordata, Mammalia, Rodentia, Bathyergidae.